UACAGAGGGGGCAAGCGUUGUUCGGAAUUACUGGGCGUAAAGGGCGCGUAGGCGGCCUUCUAAGUCGAACGUGAAAUCCCUGGGCUCAACCCAGGAACUGCGUCCGAUACUGGGAGGCUUGAAUCCGGGAGAGGGAUGUGGAAUUCCUGGUGUAGCGGUGAAAUGCGCAGAUAUCAGGAAGAACACCCGUGGCUAAGGCGGUUCUCUAGUACGGUACUGACGCUGAGACGCGAAAGCGUGGGGAGCGAACAGG
RNAcentral lists this ribosomal RNA (253 nucleotides) under uncultured bacterium. RNAcentral's name for it is "partial 16S ribosomal RNA". It matches the Rfam family "Bacterial small subunit ribosomal RNA", at positions 524 to 776 of the family's 1533-position model. The record is from RNAcentral.